UACGUAGGGUGCAAGCGUUGUCCGGAAUUACUGGGCGUAAAGCGCACGUAGGCGGAUAUUUAAGUCAGGGGUGAAAUCCCAGAGCUCAACUCUGGAACUGCCUUCGAUACUGGGUAUCUUGAGUAUGGAAGAGGUAAGUGGAAUUCCGAGUGUAGAGGUGAAAUUCGUAGAUAUUCGGAGGAACACCAGUGGCGAAGGCGGCUUACUGGUCCAUUACUGACGCUGAGGUGCGAAAGCGUGGGGAGCAAACAGG
This 253-nucleotide ribosomal RNA is filed under the name uncultured bacterium. Its description in RNAcentral is "partial 16S ribosomal RNA". It matches the Rfam family "Bacterial small subunit ribosomal RNA", at positions 524 to 776 of the family's 1533-position model. The record is from RNAcentral.